RNAcentral lists this ribosomal RNA (780 nucleotides) under Desulfomicrobium sp. RNAcentral's name for it is "bacterial SSU rRNA". It matches the Rfam family "Bacterial small subunit ribosomal RNA", at positions 1 to 763 of the family's 1533-position model. Lineage: Bacteria; Pseudomonadati; Thermodesulfobacteriota; Desulfovibrionia; Desulfovibrionales; Desulfomicrobiaceae. The record is from RNAcentral.
UAACUGGAGAGUUUGAUUCUGGCUCAGAAUGAACGCUGGCGGCGUGCCUAACACAUGCAAGUCGUACGAGAAAGGGGCUUCGGCCCUGAGUAGAGUGGCGCACGGGUGAGUAACGCGUGGGUAAUCUACCCUUGGAUUUGGGAUAACUCUGCGAAAGUGGAGCUAAUACCGGAUAGUCUGGCUUUAAAUAAGAAGUCGGUAAAGGAUGCCUCUGCAUAUGCAUUCGUCCGAGGAUGAGCCCGCGUCUCAUUAGCUAGUUGGUAGGGUAAUGGCCUACCAAGGCAACGAUGAGUAGCUGGUCUGAGAGGAUGAUCAGCCACACUGGAACUGAAACACGGUCCAGACUCCUACGGGAGGCAGCAGUGGGGAAUAUUGCGCAAUGGGCGAAAGCCUGACGCAGCAACGCCGUGUGAGGGAUGAAGGCUUUCGGGUCGUAAACCUCUGUCGGAAGGGAAGAACGGGCAUUGGUCUAAUAGGCCUUUGUUUUGACGGUACCUUUAGAGGAAGCACCGGCUAACUCCGUGCCAGCAGCCGCGGUAAUACGGAGGGUGCAAGCGUUAUUCGGAAUUACUGGGCGUAAAGCGCACGUAGGCCGCUUUGUAAGUCAGGGGUGAAAUCCCACGGCUCAACCGUGGAACUGCCCUUGAAACUGCAGAGCUUGAAUCCUGGAGAGGGUGGCGGAAUUCCUGGUGUAGGAGUGAAAUCCGUAGAUAUCAGGAGGAACACCGGUGGCGAAGGCGGCCACCUGGACAGGCAUUGACGCUGAGGUGCGAAAGUGUG